RNAcentral lists this long non-coding RNA (416 nucleotides) under Pan paniscus (pygmy chimpanzee). Its description in RNAcentral is "lncRNA (ENSPPAG00000045166.1)". The record is from RNAcentral. Lineage: Eukaryota; Metazoa; Chordata; Mammalia; Primates; Hominidae.
GUAAAUGUCAUUAAUGACACCACAUCUCCACCCAUUUCAUAAGGAGAACAUAAGAAUUCCUUUUGUUUUUUGCCUACUCUUCUCCUACCACCUCUUUUCUACUACAAUGUUAUGAUAAGAGCAGCUGCCUUGGCAGUUUCUAAUUGCAGAUGUGGAAUCUAUUUCAAAUGAGUAAACUCUCCAAAGAAAAGUGUACUUUUUUUUGGCCACAGGAAUCUUCAGUGACUUAAUUAACAGGUGAGUGGCAUUGCUCCUGAACAGAGCUACCUAGUUAUAAUCUGUGUUACCUUUGCUUUAAAAUGUUCUCUUUACUCCAUUUCCUUAGUUGAUAUGCUUGAGGCAUCUUGUUGAAUCCAUCAUUUAUUCACCCACUCAUUCAUUUAACAUGUAUUUGCAGUUGCAAAGCAGGCAGUAGG